Molecule: long non-coding RNA, 84 nt
Organism: Salarias fasciatus (jewelled blenny)
Lineage: Eukaryota; Metazoa; Chordata; Actinopteri; Blenniiformes; Blenniidae
Exons: 3
Source: RefSeq, a predicted model, not a curated record
ACAACAUACCUGGAUGUCAAACAACCACUGCAGCUUCCUGUCUUUGUUGUCACUACUGGAAAUAUCCUGAUUAGUUAUAUAUCA